This 76-nucleotide transfer RNA is filed under the name Nicotiana tabacum (common tobacco). It matches the Rfam family "tRNA". From Rfam's summary of the family: Transfer RNA (tRNA) molecules are approximately 80 nucleotides in length. The record is from Rfam by way of RNAcentral. Lineage: Eukaryota; Viridiplantae; Streptophyta; Magnoliopsida; Solanales; Solanaceae.
GCAUCCAUGGCUGAAUGGUUAAAGCACCUUUCCUAGUAAAGGGGCAAAUUCGUAGGUUCGAUUCCUGCUGGAUGUU